RNAcentral lists this ribosomal RNA (489 nucleotides) under uncultured Entrophospora. RNAcentral's name for it is "SSU rRNA". It matches the Rfam family "Eukaryotic small subunit ribosomal RNA", at positions 569 to 1057 of the family's 1831-position model. Lineage: Eukaryota; Fungi; Glomeromycota; Glomeromycetes; Entrophosporales; Entrophosporaceae. The record is from RNAcentral.
AGCAGCCGCGGUAAUUCCAGCUCCAAUAGCGUAUAUUAAAGUUGUUGCAGUUAAAAAGCUCGUAGUUGAAUUUCGGGAUUGACGUGACGGUCGUGCCUUAAGGGGUAUGAACUGUUACAGUCAAUUUCUCACCUUCUGGAGAAAUAUGAUGUCCUUAAUUGGGUGUCAUAUGGAACCAGGACUUUUACCUUGAAAAAUUAGAGUGUUUAAAGCAAGCUUAUUGCUCGAAUACAUUAGCAUGGAAUAAUAAAAUAGGACGGCAUGAUUCUAUUUUGUUGGUUUCUAGGAUCACCGUAAUGAUUAAUAGGGAUAGUUGGGGGCAUUAGUAUUCAAUUGUCAGAGGUGAAAUUCUUGGAUUUAUUGAAGACUAACUACUGCGAAAGCAUUUGCCAAGGAUGUUUUCAUUAAUCAAGAACGAAAGUUAGGGGAUCGAAGACGAUCAGAUACCGUCGUAGUCUUAACCAUAAACUAUGCCGACUAGGAAUCAGA